UACGUAGGUGGCAAGCGUUGUCCGGAAUUAUUGGGCGUAAAGCGCGCGCAGGCGGUCCUUUAAGUCUGAUGUGAAAGCCCACGGCUCAACCGUGGAGGGUCAUUGGAAACUGGGGGACUUGAGUGCAGAAGAGGAAAGUGGAAUUCCAAGUGUAGCGGUGAAAUGCGUAGAGAUUUGGAGGAACACCAGUGGCGAAGGCGACUUUCUGGUCUGUAACUGACGCUGAGGCGCGAAAGCGUGGGGAGCAAAC
RNAcentral lists this ribosomal RNA (250 nucleotides) under uncultured bacterium. RNAcentral's name for it is "partial 16S ribosomal RNA". It matches the Rfam family "Bacterial small subunit ribosomal RNA", at positions 524 to 773 of the family's 1533-position model. The record is from RNAcentral.